This 1055-nucleotide long non-coding RNA is filed under the name Coturnix japonica (Japanese quail). RNAcentral describes it as "lncRNA (ENSCJPG00005000150.1)". The record is from RNAcentral. Lineage: Eukaryota; Metazoa; Chordata; Aves; Galliformes; Phasianidae.
GUCUCUUCUGCAUGGUGACAGUGUGGCACAAGCCCAUAUGAAGGCAGAUACAAUGGGAGAGCAAUAUUUGAACACAUACUGCUGCCUUGUGAGUGAGGAAAAGCUGAAAAAGGAUAACUGACCCAUUCAUCCCUUUGAAGAUGGUAUUUACUUUUACUGCUACUCUUCUUGGAGCUGAAGUCUUCACAUAAAAGACCUGCUUUAACCCCAAGGCCACCAUCUGAAGCCUGCUUGUACCUCAUCAUUUCCCAGUGUUAUAAAACAAGGAUCAUUUUUUUUCCAGCAUGCAUCGUCUUAUUCUCAUCACAUCCAAGGCAAACUGGACUCCUUUACAAAGAAUGUGUCCAGGAGAACAAGGAGAGUUGCUAUUCCUGUGUAACACGGGGCCACAAACUGCAGCCUAGGACAGCUGGUUGGACAUUAGGAAGAACUUUUUCACCUAGACAGUGCUCCCCAGAAAAGGCUAAAAUCCCCAGUUACCAGAAGACUACAAGACUUGGUUUGGUGCAGGAACAACCAACCUGGCCUAGAUGCAGUGACUGUCCUACAGAUUGUACCAGUGGCUGCUGUGACUGUGAGACUGAAUGACUUUCUGGUAUCUGCACUGUGUAUGAUACCUUCUGGCCUGUUUCUUGAAUUAAUGGGGCACCAUAGCUUAAUCACAUGUUCAUGUGUAUUCAGCUUCAUGUACCACCGUAGAGGUACAUACCAGCUUUAAAGGCUUUAAAGAGAAAUAUCUGAGCUUCAGAGGAUGACAGGAACAGCAGAGAAGAAUCUCACUAAAUACCAUACUACUUUGUGGAGCUCAUACAGUUAAAACAUAUUGUUUAAAUUGACAGGGAUUCAUUCUUAAAAAUAUUCAAGAAAACGCAUGGCUUUGCAUCUUCAAAAAGGAGGUAACUCUUAAUGGAAAGUGCACCUUCAGCACCUAAGCCUGGAUUUUAUCACCUUAACUCACACAACACGAUUUAGGCAAUCCACCUCAAGGACCAUGGCAUCCUGAUGCUCUCCACUGGCUGAUUCAGUAUGUUACAAGCAUGGGAGGAAAUGAAGUC